UGGUCAAUGAUGACGUGACCACCGCACAAUCUGAGUUCUAGGAACCAGGUGAUGGAGUGUGUGCUGAGAGCUGACUGUGAGACUU
Acinonyx jubatus (cheetah) is the source of this 85-nucleotide non-coding RNA. RefSeq annotates it as small Cajal body-specific RNA 18. The transcript has a single exon. The record is from RefSeq and is a predicted model, not a curated record. NCBI's taxonomy places the organism in Eukaryota, Metazoa, Chordata, Mammalia, Carnivora, Felidae.